GACGAACGCUGGCGGCGUGCUUAACACAUGCAAGUCGAACGAUGAAGCUAGAGCUUGCUCUGGUGGAUUAGUGGCGAACGGGUGAGUAACACGUGAGUAACCUGCCCCGAACUCUGGGAUAACUGCUGGAAACGGUAGCUAAUACCGGAUAUGACCAAUGAAGGCAUCUUCUGUUGGUGGAAAGAAUUUCGGUUCGGGAUGGACUCGCGGCCUAUCAGCUUGUUGGUGAGGUAACGGCUCACCAAGGCGACGACGGGUAGCCGGCCUGAGAGGGUGCUCGGCUACACUGGGACUGAGACACGGCCCAGACUCCUACGGGAGGCAGCAGUGGGGAAUAUUGCACAAUGGGCGCAAGCCUGAUGCAGCAACGCCGCGUGAGGGACGACGGCCUUCGGGUUGUAAACCUCUUUUAGUAGGGAAGAAGCGAAAGUGACGGUACCUGCAGAAAAAGCACCGGCUAACUACGUGCCAGCCGCCGCGGUAA
RNAcentral lists this ribosomal RNA (484 nucleotides) under uncultured bacterium. RNAcentral's name for it is "partial 16S ribosomal RNA". It matches the Rfam family "Bacterial small subunit ribosomal RNA", at positions 28 to 523 of the family's 1533-position model. The record is from RNAcentral.